This 1193-nucleotide long non-coding RNA is filed under the name Manacus vitellinus (golden-collared manakin). RNAcentral describes it as "lncRNA (ENSMVIG00005000430.1)". Lineage: Eukaryota; Metazoa; Chordata; Aves; Passeriformes; Pipridae. The record is from RNAcentral.
UUACAGUGUUAGAACUCAGACCUUUGCUAGGGAGGUAAAAACCGCUAAAGCUAAAUUGAGGUGUAAAUAUUACAAGAAAAAUAGCUGCAAGCUUGAUGUGAAGGGUCAGCUCGUUCUGUGGAAGAUGCUUCUGCCUUAAAGCUGGGUUCUGAGAGAAGGCAGCACUUUUGCAACAUGUGCAAUAGAGCACUAGAGCCAAAAGAUGCUGAGCAAAUCCAUUGAAAGGGUCAUGAUGUGGAUUGUGGUUUUAAAUGUAUUUAUUGUCCCAUGACCAUGUGGAUCUUAAUGGAAAAUCACUGAAAAAUCACACAAGCGGAUAAAGGAAACCUACCAGUGCCUCAUCUGCGAAAGUGCUUUUAUGUCACAAGAUGCCUGGAGAGUGAAUAAAAACAACCAUUAAAGGAAGCCUCGUCCCAGUGCGUGGUGUAUCUGUCGUCUUCUCUGAAACUGAGCAGAUAAGAAAUCUUCAUGUAGCUUGCUUACCAUUAUUGGGAUAUGGUUAGAUGUCCACACAGUGGUUUUACCAGUCCUGUUACAUGUAGACCCUUUAGGGUCACUGGCUUCAGCUCCAUCACAAUAUCCUUACAUGUGUUGGUGGUGCCUUGACCACUGAACCAUGCUGGAGAAACUGGUGUACACUGAAUUAGAGGGUCAGCCCCCCUGAAGUGCAAACUCCCGAAACCAGCAAUUAGCCGUAGUACCUGCCCGUGGCUGUCUCUUAAUUCUUUCUGCAGAAGGCUCUGACCCCGCGGCAGAACAGGAUCUGUCUGCAGUUGUGGCGAGCUCAAUUGCACACAGCUCCAGCCAGCUGUGUGUCCUGCGGCACGGAAUGAGCAGCUGAUGGCAGAAUGGCCUCGAGACAACAUUGCCAUGCUGACUGCGACUCCAGGCACCCGGGCUGUGCUACCACACAGAGCUCCAGUGUGCCAAACAUUCAGAAGAAGAGCUUGGACCUUCACAUACACUGACCUCACGCUGGUGAGGUAUUUGGCUGUAGUUUUUGCUGCUCUUCUUUCCCUGGCAAACAACUUCUCUGAAAACAUAUUAGGAAAUAUUACCUGGGUUCAGGAACCUCAUUAACCACUUCCCAGCCCAUCUUUACCUUCAAAUUACUCCUCGUGGAACAUUAGGUUCUUCAUGCUUAAACUUCCACCUGAGCAUCCCAGCAAAUAAAGAAGCUGUUGGCAUGGUCA